This 371-nucleotide ribosomal RNA is filed under the name uncultured organism. Its description in RNAcentral is "bacterial SSU rRNA". It matches the Rfam family "Bacterial small subunit ribosomal RNA", at positions 526 to 896 of the family's 1533-position model. The record is from RNAcentral.
CGGAGGGUGCGAGCGUUAUCCGGAAUUACUGGGUUUAAAGGGUGCGUAGGCGGCCAUGUAAGUCAGGAGUGAAAGUUUGCGGCUCAACCGUAAAAUUGCUUUUGAUACUGCAUGGCUGGAAUCAGGAUGAGGUCAGCGGAAUGUGGCAUGUAGCGGUGAAAUGCAUAGAUAUGCCAUAGAACACCAAUUGCGAAGGCAGCUGGCUAGACCUGUAUUGACGCUGAGGCACGAAAGCGUGGGGAGCGAACAGGAUUAGAUACCCUGGUAGUCCACGCCCUAAACGAUGCUUACCUCGACGUAUGAAGCUAGUCUUUGUGCGUCCAAAGGGAACCGUUAAGUAAGCCACCGUGGGGAGUACGGCCGCAAGGUUG